UACGAAGGGGGCUAGCGCUGUUCGGAAUUACUGGGCGUAAAGGGCGUGUAGGCGGCCCGUAAAGUCAGGCGUGAAAUUCCUGGGCUCAACCCUGGACGUGCGCCUGAUACUGGCGGGCUUGAGUCCGGGAGAGGAUGGUGGGACUCCCAGUGUAGAGGUGAAAUUCGUAGAUAUUGGGAAGAACACCCGUGGCGAAGGCGGCCAUCUGGACCGGUACUGACGCUAAGGCGCGACAGCGUGGGGAGCAAACAGG
RNAcentral lists this ribosomal RNA (253 nucleotides) under uncultured bacterium. RNAcentral describes it as "partial 16S ribosomal RNA". It matches the Rfam family "Bacterial small subunit ribosomal RNA", at positions 524 to 776 of the family's 1533-position model. The record is from RNAcentral.